Molecule: long non-coding RNA, 555 nt
Organism: Rosa chinensis
Lineage: Eukaryota; Viridiplantae; Streptophyta; Magnoliopsida; Rosales; Rosaceae
Exons: 4
Source: RefSeq, a predicted model, not a curated record
CUAUUGAAGGUAUAGAAAAGUGGCCAUAUGAAGCUGCUGCUGUAGCUUUUGAGGCUAUACCACGAACAUUGGCUCAGAACUGUGGGGUUAAUGUCAUUAGAACGAUGACAGCGCUGCAAGGAAAGGUAUACAGAAUUUGCUGGGGCAGUUCCUACUAGACCUGCAUAGGACAGUCAGGACUUGGCAUUUUCAGUUUCAAGGUUUAUACAAAAUGGUGGUUCUUUUGCCAACUACUACAUGUACCAUGGAGGAACGAAUUUUGGCCGAACUGCUAAUAUGGUAUGCAAUCUGGCAGAAAGAGUGAUCCCAGGAAUUGAGUUGGUGCGAUUAGCAUCAUGGUGUUUGCAGUAUGAACCUCGUGAGAGGCCAAAUGCCAAGUCUCUUGUGACUGCCCUUGUUCUUCUUCAAAAGGAAACUUCGUUGAAGCGUAAAGAUAUUAUAUCAGCUUUUGUUUCAUGUAUAGGUAGUUAGGAAUGAUUUCUUGUUUGGUACAUUAUCUAUCUUGAAUGUAUGGAUGUUUGAAAAAUGGUGAUUGAAUGAUAUGGAUUAGAGUAC